This 18-nucleotide small nuclear RNA is filed under the name Arabidopsis thaliana (thale cress). RNAcentral's name for it is "snRNA_06081". The record is from RNAcentral. Lineage: Eukaryota; Viridiplantae; Streptophyta; Magnoliopsida; Brassicales; Brassicaceae.
CUCCUUCCACUGAGCAUU